RNAcentral lists this ribosomal RNA (269 nucleotides) under uncultured prokaryote. Its description in RNAcentral is "partial 16S ribosomal RNA". It matches the Rfam family "Bacterial small subunit ribosomal RNA", at positions 524 to 792 of the family's 1533-position model. The record is from RNAcentral.
UACGUAGGUGGCGAGCGUUGUCCGGAUUUACUGGGCGUAAAGGGAGCGUAGGCGGACUUUUAAGUGAGAUGUGAAAUACCCGGGCUCAACUUGGGUGCUGCAUUUCAAACUGGAAGUCUAGAGUGCAGGAGAGGAGAAUGGAAUUCCUAGUGUAGCGGUGAAAUGCGUAGAGAUUAGGAAGAACACCAGUGGCGAAGGCGAUUCUCUGGACUGUAACUGACGCUGAGGCUCGAAAGCGUAGGGAGCAAACAGGAUUAGAUACCCGGGUA